GACGAACGCUGGCGGCGUGCUUAACACAUGCAAGUCGAACGGAAAGGCCCUGCUUUUGUGGGGUGCUCGAGUGGAGAAAGGGUGAGUAACACGGGAGUAACCUGCCCUGGACUUUGGGAUAACGUCGGGAAACUGGGGCUAAUACCGGAUAGGUGCUCCUGCGGCAUGGUGGGGGUUGGAAAGUUUCGGCGGUUGGGGAUGGACUCGCGGCUUAUCAGCUUGUUGGUGGGGUAGUGGCUUACCAAGGCUUUGACGGGUAGCCGGCCUGAGAGGGUGACCGGCCACAUUGGGACUGAGAUACGGCCCAGACUCCUACGGGAGGCAGCAGUGGGGAAUAUUGCACAAUGGGCGGAAGCCUGAUGCAGCAACGCCGCGUGCGGGAUGACGGCCUUCGGGUUGUAAACCGCUUUCGCCUGUGACGAAGCGUGAGUGACGGUAAUGGGUAAAGAAGCACCGGCUAACUACGUG
This 468-nucleotide ribosomal RNA is filed under the name uncultured bacterium. RNAcentral describes it as "partial 16S ribosomal RNA". It matches the Rfam family "Bacterial small subunit ribosomal RNA", at positions 28 to 507 of the family's 1533-position model. The record is from RNAcentral.